CCUACGGGGGGCUGCAGUGGGGAAUAUUGGACAAUGGGGGGAACCCUGAUCCAGCCAUGCCGCGUGUGUGAAGAAGGCCCUCGGGUUGUAAAGCACUUUCAGUGAGGAAGAACGCCUGGUGGUUAAUACCCAUCAGGAAAGACAUCACUCACAGAAGAAGCACCGGCUAACUCCGUGCCAGCAGCCGCGGUAAUACGGAGGGUGCGAGCGUUAAUCGGAAUUACUGGGCGUAAAGCGCGCGUAGGUGGCUUGAUAAGCCGGUUGUGAAAGCCCCGGGCUCAACCUGGGAACGGCAUCCGGAACUGUCAAGCUAGAGUGCAGGAGAGGAAGGUAGAACUCCCGGUGUAGCGGUGAAAUGCGUAGAGAUCUGGAGGAAUACCAGUGGCGAAGGCGGCCUUCUGGACUGACACUGACACUGAGGUGCGAAAGCGUGGGUAGCAAACAGGAUUAGAUACCCUAGUAGUC
RNAcentral lists this ribosomal RNA (465 nucleotides) under Vreelandella stevensii. Its description in RNAcentral is "partial 16S ribosomal RNA". It matches the Rfam family "Bacterial small subunit ribosomal RNA", at positions 338 to 795 of the family's 1533-position model. The record is from RNAcentral. Lineage: Bacteria; Pseudomonadati; Pseudomonadota; Gammaproteobacteria; Oceanospirillales; Halomonadaceae.